RNAcentral lists this ribosomal RNA (301 nucleotides) under uncultured bacterium. RNAcentral describes it as "partial 16S ribosomal RNA". It matches the Rfam family "Bacterial small subunit ribosomal RNA", at positions 509 to 807 of the family's 1533-position model. The record is from RNAcentral.
CAGUAGCCACGGGAAAACGAAGGGGGCUAGCGUUGUUCGGAAUUACUGGGCGUAAAGGGCGCGUAGGCGGCCAUUCAAGUUAGAUGUGAAAGCCCUGGGCUCAACCUAGGAAUUGCAUUUGAUACUGUUUGGCUUGAGUUCGGGAGAGGUGAGUGGAAUUCCCAGUGUAGAGGUGAAAUUCGUAGAUAUUGGGAAGAACACCAGUGGCGAAGGCGGCUCACUGGACCGACACUGACGCUGAGGCGCGAAAGCGUGGGGAGCAAACAGGAUUAGAUACCCCCGUAGUCCCUGUCUCUUAUAC